RNAcentral lists this unclassified non-coding RNA (295 nucleotides) under air metagenome. RNAcentral's name for it is "partial contains small subunit ribosomal RNA, internal transcribed spacer 1, and 5.8S ribosomal RNA". The stretch from base 1 to 46 matches the Rfam family "Eukaryotic small subunit ribosomal RNA", at positions 1786 to 1831 of the family's 1831-position model. The record is from RNAcentral.
AAGUCGUAACAAGGUUUCCGUAGGUGAACCUGCGGAAGGAUCAUUAUCGAGUUAACUAUCGACUUUGAUGCUGGCCGUUUUCGGCAUGUGCUCGAGUCUUUAAAAUCCACUCAACCACUGUGCACUAAUUCGAAGCUUUUGCGGGGGUUCAGCGCUCCCUUCCUCUUCGUUGAGGAGGGUUUUAGAGUUCGGGCUUUUGCGGGGUUUUCGAGCUUUUCAUAUAAACCACAUCUUGUCAUGUCGAAUGUAAUACUUUAUUAAAAUACAACUUUCAACAACGGAUCUCUUGGCUCUC